RNAcentral lists this long non-coding RNA (667 nucleotides) under Daucus carota (carrot). RNAcentral describes it as "long non-coding RNA (DCAR_LNC000024)". The record is from RNAcentral. Lineage: Eukaryota; Viridiplantae; Streptophyta; Magnoliopsida; Apiales; Apiaceae.
UAGGAUUAGGAUUUAGGUGUAAACCUUUUUCCAAAUAUAUGUGCCCCUUUCAACGAUCGCUCAUUUUUAUACAGUGUUUUGUAUAGCUUGCAGAAGCCGAGUCCUCUGUUCCAAACGUCUACAAUUCGAACGUUUACAAUCCGUUGGGACAGAGGGAGUAUUGCGAUGUCAGGGAAAGAUUUCCAUUCGAGCACAAGAAUCGAACUAUCAACAAAGACCGAAAAAAAAUGAAAGUAUGGUCACUCCCCUCCUAUGCACACAUCUGACUCCAAAUGACUAGCUCCUUCAGGCUGAAAAUCAUAGAAGCUUACUACACUUAACUCCAUUACCAUCUACUAGCAUCCAAGAGGCGAGACAGAGUUUACGAUCAUGAAAGGCACAGGUAAAGUCCCGAUUUCUAUAAUGUUUGGCGUAAAAGGGAUGAUUCAUGGGUUCAACUCUUUAUUCAAACAUACAUCAAUAUGUAUGCGAUAUUCUUGUUUUGCAUUUCUACUCUAAUAUAAUAAGUUACAUAGAUACAUAAAUAACUACCUCCGAAAAAUUUGAAUGAAGACAUCUCUUUCACUACUAACUAACUAUAUGCAGUGUCACUUUGACAAAUUGUGUAUGCCGCAAGAAUAUGUUGAAAUCUUCGCAGCAACUCUUAUAUAAGCAAAGGAAAGGAGGC